Molecule: small nuclear RNA, 146 nt
Filed under: Foraminifera environmental sample
Lineage: Eukaryota; Foraminifera
Description: partial Dictyostelium signal recognition particle
Source: RNAcentral
CGGACCCAGAAGGAUUCCGAACAUUUGCUGAGAAACAUCAACUCAAGCUGCAGGCGUACAGUCCUUUUGGAAGCGGCGGUCAUGGUUCGGAGCAGAUUUUGAAAGGAAACCUAACAACGUCCAUCGGGAAGAGCCAUGGAAAGUCG